UAUUAUAGUAUGUUGUUGUGAACCCAUAUUAAUGUGAUUGUGUAAGUAAAUGUUUUAUCAAAUCUUGCCUGUGAUUUACCUACCUAAAUAAAUUUUAGGAUUUUAUUUGGUAAGAAUUUAUUGGUUUACCAAAGAAGACAUAUUUCUACUUGGUAAGUCAAUAAAAGGUGGGACAGUUAAGACGGUUUUCAAGGAAAACCGGAGAAAAGACCAUAUAUACGAGGAAAAAGAUCAGAGCGAAGAGACGGAGGGGGAACUCAAGAUCUGGAUGCAACCAGAAAGAAAACAACUCUGCACUGCAUUCAACAAGCUAAGAAAGUUGUUUAUUCAUGAUGUUUGAACAUCCAUGCCUGGAGGGUGAUGAAGCAAGAAUAAGAUGUUUUAGUGCUCAGAGAGUGGAACCUUCAUGGAAGAUUCCUGGGUUCACGAGCUGUCAGAAGUGGCAAUUGAAAGAGUUUCAGUUUGGUGGUUUUAGGCCCCUACUGAAGCAUCACUUGUUAUUUGCAAGUACCGUGAUGGGUCGAGCUCCAGAUCUGAAGACGGUUCUUCUGACAGAUGGUCAAUAUCCAUGCAAGGGCUGUGAUGCAAUGAUCCCUAUACCUCCUCCUGUAGGGGGCUUCUUUCCAAGGGACAGGGAUACACAAGAGGCAAUAGUCAAGCAACUUAGAGAGAUCGUCCAGUCCUCAGCACAGAUAAUUUUCCGUGGUGGUUCGACACACCCCUCUCGAGCCACCUGGUCAUGUAUUUAUUAGCAAGCAGAGUACAAGAGAUCAUGUCAGUUUUAUUAUAUUUUGAACUUACAGAAUCGUAGGAGAGUAAUUCCCUUUGUAUCCUUUAUUAUUUCUCUCUGUCAAUUUUG
Triticum aestivum (bread wheat) is the source of this 859-nucleotide long non-coding RNA. RefSeq lists it as uncharacterized. The transcript is spliced from 3 exons. The record is from RefSeq and is a predicted model, not a curated record. Lineage: Eukaryota; Viridiplantae; Streptophyta; Magnoliopsida; Poales; Poaceae.